This 304-nucleotide long non-coding RNA is filed under the name Vitis vinifera (wine grape). RNAcentral describes it as "long non-coding RNA (VVIN_LNC002550)". Lineage: Eukaryota; Viridiplantae; Streptophyta; Magnoliopsida; Vitales; Vitaceae. The record is from RNAcentral.
GGCAGCUUUCCACACCUUUUUCCUUUUCUUCCCUACAAAUGAGUCAUGCCAGCUUAAAAUGAUACCAUUGACCAAGGAAGAGAUCACCCAAUCUACACUGAAUAAGGAGAAUAAUGUGCUAAAAAAUCCUUGCUUUGAAGCAAUGAAGAAGAAUGUCAUAAAUUCUCCUUCUAAUUUACACAUAUAGCAUCCAUUCAUCAGUGCUAGCCCUCUCUUAUGGAGAUUACUAAAGUUACUACUUUCCCCCAAUUUGUUUCCUUUGCAAAAGAGCUAACUUAGACAAGACCCAUGGGUUCCAUAUAAU